Long non-coding RNA from Pseudopipra pipra, 569 nucleotides. RefSeq lists it as uncharacterized. The transcript is spliced from 2 exons. The record is from RefSeq and is a predicted model, not a curated record. NCBI's taxonomy places the organism in Eukaryota, Metazoa, Chordata, Aves, Passeriformes, Pipridae.
UCUGCUUUCAGAGCCACAGCCAAAUCUCUGCUUAAAGGAAAGCGGUGCUGGUGCCUCUCCUCCCGUCUCCCAUACAGAGCUGUGUCCACGUGGAUGUGGGGGAAGAGCUGGAGGUAGCAAGGCAGCUCCAAGCAUCCCUGGAUCCUAGUGCUUCUUUGCCAGAGAUGGAAAUACCCUUUUUUUAUGCAGCCUUCGAGCAAACUGAGCUUUCCUAUGAGCAGCUCCGAGGGAACACGGCGGGAGGCAGCGCAGGGGACCUGCUGGGCCAGCUCAGAGGCUCCCACUCCAAAACAUCAGCAGCUCUAUCCCACCUGUGGCAGCAGAACAGCAAGGAGAGGAGACCCAGACUUCAGCUGGGAUAGUUAGGGCAGCACAGAGCCAGCACCAGCACAAAAACCUGGAAUUACUGACCAUUUCUACCAGGAAAGACAAUGACAACCCACCCUGCCCCAGUGACCUUCAUCCCGGGGCAGGAGGAGAUGGAGCAUUAGCAAUGGGACUGUUGCUUCCCACAAACACAUGUCCCUGCUUUCUCUGCUGUAUGAUAUACAAAGAGUUUGUUAAAAACC